CUGGCACCCGUUGCCCAAUGUGGAGCAGUUUUCCAGGACCGAGCCCUUAAGCAGGGGGGUCUGUGCUGACCGCAGGGGACGGGGUCAGGACUCAACAGGAGAGCUGAGAGGUGGUGCUGGGGAGGGCGCCGUGCGUUUGGUGGCACACGUGGGACAGCUCCCGUUCCCCCUCUUCAGUCCUCGGAACAGCUCGGCAAGGUUGCUGCUGUGGUCGCCCUGGUUUUGCAGACGAGGAACGAAGGAGCGCGGCCUUGCCCCCGUUAACGAUAAGCUGUUCAUGAGGGCACAGCAGACCCCAGGUGUGCCUCUUAGACACUUGGAUGCCCCUCAGACCCCUUUGGGGCUGCUGUUGUGGAGGAAAGCCCCCUGGCACCCCAAAUCGGCGCCUCCUGCGUGACCUAUGAGAGACACGGCAGGGCUCCUCUCCUUCGGUCAUUCCUGACCCCUCGCUCCCUGCUCAAGGCCACAGGUGACGAACACUUGCGUCCGUGAGCCCUACCCCCACCGAGGGAAGCAGCGGCACCUGUUCCACUGAUGGGGAAACUGAGUCACGGGGCGCCUGAAGCUCAGGGGCCGAGGGGCUUCCCCAAGGCAUAUGGCAGGUGGCCUGUGCUGGGGUGGGGCCGGCACCCGGCUCUGGACACACCAUCCCACAUUUCUGUCCUUGUUUGAUGUCCCCUGAGACGGGGACAUCCGAAGCCAGGAACAGAGUGUCUUCUUCUGGUGUCACCUGACCUUGGCCCGGCCCAGGCAGACCAACAUGCUCCAGGGCGGGGGGCUAGAUGAACAAGCUAGAGCUGCCUCAAAGCGGGGAGCGUCGGGGGCUCCCUCCGCGCCUGUUCCGUCUCCAUUCUGUGCCUCAAGAGCAGCGGGUCUCCACGGGCCUCUCCUGUGUGGGCCCCUGUGAGGGGCAGGGCCUCAGCACAGGCGCCGAGUCUGGCAAUAAUGAUGUAUAUGAUUCAUUUAUAAUUGGGCAUUUUCUGCAAAGGAAGUUACGACGGCUCAGCUGCAGCCUCCUGUACUAAUUGGUGAGUGGCAUCCCCAGCAGUGACUGCAGCAUCUGCUCUCAUUGUCAUCGCCCACCUGGGGCCAGCCGCCCCUGCCCCUCCCUGGCCACCUCAGUGUGGCCAGGUCUCUGCAGGACUCUGACAGCGGCUUUAUCUGGCAUGGAUCUGCUCUAAAGGGCUGCUGAGGCCUGGCCAGGUGCUAAGAGGGCAGGACCAACACUCGGAGGGCCAGAGGCUGGAGACCAGGGAAGGAAGGGCCUGGAAGGGGACUGGGCAGCUGGGUGAACGUGUGCCCCUGCCCCUCGUGAGGAGUCCGUUUGAAUGGCGUCAGCGGGUGUUUUUGCCCUUGAUCGUUGGUACCCGCGGCAGACCGCAUCUUCCAACAACGACUUCAGUGAUUUUUCCGAUCCCACCCGCUCCUCCGCGGCGUGACCUGGCUGCUUGCUCACUAAGCGGCAGAGUCGAUUUCCCUGCCCGGGGUUCUGGGGGGUCUCGCUGACAUCCUCGGCCAGAGGGAUGCGGCAGAACGAUGUCCCGGGAGUCCGGAGACUCGGAUUUGAGAAGUUUUGCUCAUCUCUCUGGGCCUCUCAGGACGCUCAGAAAUGUGCCCUCUCGGAACCCAGCCACUAGGACACCUGGGUCACGUGCAGAGGUCUCAGACAGGUGUCCGCAUGCUCCAGGUGAAGUCCAGCUGAGCUCUCAGCCAACGGCCAGCAUCACCCAAGGGACCAGCCUGGACAUCCAGCCCAGCUGAGCCUCCGGAGGAGGGCAGCCCAGCCAACUUCCGACCAAAACCACGUGGGCGACUCAAGCAAGAGCCUCACCUCACCGCCAAGCCCUGUCCACCCACAGACCCGUGAGAGAUAAGGGCAAUUCGUGUUUUAAGCUGGACUCGCGUGCCCAGAUGGGGCCCCCAGGAACCUCUGGGACUGUCCCUCUGCCAUGCCAGGUGACACAGGCACAGGUGCUGGAGAAGAUGGGUCGUGACUCUGUCUGCCAAAGUGGUCUCUGCAAACAGGGUGUCGCUAUGAAGCUGGAUGCUGCGUCCGUGCUUAGGCUGGCUGCGCAGAAGCUGUCACAAAGGAAGGGGCUGGGGACCCAGCUCCUCCAGGGCAACCUCUCCAGUGGGCAGGGCCUGAGGCUUCAGCUCAAUUCAAAUCCCAGCAGCUCACUCUUCCAGGCAUUUGCAGUGAGCCUCCUGGGCUGUGGGCACUGCUGGGUAACCAGUGUCCUGUGCCCUUGGCAGGAGCCUGGGGACCUCUACGAAUGUGACGCGUGAAUGGAGGUCUCCAGGACCGUGAAGGGACCACGGGGUGGGGCAACACUGAGCCCAGCUCCAUCCCCCGUGGCAGCGUGACCUUGCCAGUUUCACCCCCACUCGCCUCAGCUUUCACAUCUCAAAAAUGGGCCCGCUUCCCUCCUCUCCCAUCCAGAGUGUUUGGCAGAUUGAAUGUGACGAUGCACGGAGAAAAUGAUUCACAAUGUCGCCAGCGCCCCACCCCCAGCUCCUGCCAGGAGAGCCGAGCCCUGGGCGCCCAGGCCAGGGUCAUUUCUUGCCCUUGGAGGGACCUGAGGACCCACAGCUCCUGUCCCAGCGUGUUCACAAGCCCCUUCCUUCUUAGAGUUAGCAAAUACCAGAGAGAAUCCAACGGGCAGGAUUAAAAGGCAGCCAUGAAUAUGCAUGACUCAUUGAGCAAUCAAACACCCCAAAUCCUUUCCAGGAGAAGGGACCGCGGCAUAAUUUUCCGCCACAUAGUUAAAUUCAAAUUAGUCAUUAUUUAAUGUUGGGACAAAUCUCGGGAGAAGGUCAUGUUUUCGGUUUCGUGUUUCUUUCUUAAUAAGCGAGGCUGACUCCAUGGCAGGGGACACAGGCCUUGUUUCUUUCUCUGGUUCUGCUCAUGCUGAAGAGAUGCACUCUUGCAGCAGCGGUAAACGGCUGCUCCCGUGCUCGGCGUGCUUUCAUCAACGCCUGCAGUCCUUUCCCUUCUGUCUCCUGGAUUUUCCUCGGCCACCAUCACUCCCCACUGCCCCGGUCACAAACAGAUCCGCCAAACCUCCCUGUUUGUCUCCAGACUGAGCCAGAUGGUCUGGCUUCAAAUCCUGCUCUGCCAUUUCCCAGCUGUGUGACCUUAGCUAUAUUACUGGACCUCUCUGAGUUUGUCUCCUUGUCUGUAGCAGGGGGAUGACAGUAGUUCCUAGUGCACGGUUCACUGUGGGGAUUAGUAAUAGGCUUAGAAAGGUGCUUCUCCAAGGUACGCGUGCAUAAAUGUCACUUACUAUU
RNAcentral lists this long non-coding RNA (3288 nucleotides) under Sus scrofa (pig). Its description in RNAcentral is "lncRNA (ENSSSCG00060039945.1)". Lineage: Eukaryota; Metazoa; Chordata; Mammalia; Artiodactyla; Suidae. The record is from RNAcentral.